AAAACUACAUAGUUUUGAAUAUUUAAAUCAAUUUUUUUUUUCAUUAUCUAAUUCCUAAAUCAGUUUGAGCUUCAUUUUUCAUUGUUUCAACUCCUCACUCAUUCCCAAUCAGAAACACAGCCUUAGCCACCAUCUCCAUUCACUUCGUCCCUUGUUCACUGCCAAUCAAAACCAACUUUAUUGCCUCUUCUCUCGCAUUUCACCCACCACCAAGUUUGCUUCCUCAUCUCUUGCAUUUUGUGGUCCAAUCGAACAACACAAGAAUUAGUUACAGAAUGCAAAUGUACAUGACAUUACAAGACGGCAACAAGAAGAAUUUCUUAUGUGGUUCAAAGAGCGGAUAAAUCAAUUACGAGCUGAAGGAUCAUCGGAAGCAAUUGAUGUCAUUAGCUAAUGGUCCUAGUUCAAUAGUGAAUAUUUAUUCGGGUUGUAUUUGUAAUGGAAUUCGAUUCCAUACCAAAGAUUGAGACAACCGUCGUAAAAGUCAAAAUAGUGGAUUGGUCAUUCAAGGGGAUCAUCAGGGUAUGUCAAUUGAUUUCUAUGGUCACUUGACUAAAGUUUGGGAAAUGACAUACAUGUUUGGGCAUCGAGUUGUGUUGUUUCAAUGUGAAUGGUUUAACACUGGUAGCAACAGGACAUUUCGCACUGAAACACAUCUAACAACCAUUGAUGUAAGAAGUCAUUGGUAUCAAAAUGACCCAUUUGUCUUGCCAAGUCAAGUGCAGCAAGUUUUGUAUGUCAAUGAUACCAAAAUUAGGUGAACAUUGGCAAGUUGUGGAGUGACUUCAACGUCAAGGAAUAUGGAAUGUGCCGAAACUUAAGGAUGUAGAUCCCAAUAAUAAUGAAUUGCCUAUUCUGAAUGAUGUGUUCUAGCAAGACGAGACCACUGAAAUUGUCCAAAUCACUAUUGCAGAUUCCAUUAGCAACACUUUAUGUAGGACCGAUAUUGCACCUGAUAUUAUUCCAAGCGAAGUGGUUUUGCAAUCUGGUAAAGGUGUAUAUGUAGAGGCUACAAACAUGGAUGAUUUUAUCUAUGAUGAUGAUAAUGAUCAAAAUUCAAAUGAUCCUAGUGAUGAUGAAGAUGAAUUUCGUAGUCAUAGUGACUCAGAUAUGGAUUUUGAUAUAGAGCCCAGAUUGUAAUGUCGUUUACUGAUCACAUUAUCAAGUCAUUUUGAUUGUAAUGGCAUGCACUUGUUAAUGAAGUCAUGUUUAGUUAUGAUUCAAAUUGUAAUGAAUUUUUUUGUUGAUAAUUUCAUUACUUGUAAUGUAGUUGUAAUA
Molecule: long non-coding RNA, 1278 nt
Organism: Camellia sinensis
Lineage: Eukaryota; Viridiplantae; Streptophyta; Magnoliopsida; Ericales; Theaceae
Source: RefSeq, a predicted model, not a curated record